Molecule: long non-coding RNA, 555 nt
Organism: Ornithodoros turicata
Lineage: Eukaryota; Metazoa; Arthropoda; Arachnida; Ixodida; Argasidae
Exons: 4
Source: RefSeq, a predicted model, not a curated record
AGCGUUUCGCUUGCUGUGUGGUACCUCGCCGCUUCGACAUCCGUUGCAUUGGAAACAACGGAAUUCAAAGUCACAUAGGACGUUGCACGGACGCCGGCUGUGAUCGUGAUGCAUUUAUUGGAGAAAUGGAUGAAAAUGGACAUGCAAUGGAAGUAGCAUGCUGUUAUUGUCACCAUGCACGAGCCAAGCAUGCAGCACUGAGUGAAACAGGUAACCCAUAGCGCAGCUCCACUGGUUCCAAAUUUGAUGGACACAGCCAUGAGUUACCUGGCAGUAUUGUGGCAGAGGGUAUCUUGUGCCACAGAAGUACAUACGAACAGUCCAGCAGAAAUACAGCAGCAGCCCAAUCCCAGUCUAUAACUCUGCAGAGGCUCAGAGAGAUAGCAGCAAACCAGGUCCUUCCCACAACUCUCCGCAAGCUCGGGAUUCGUCGCAAACCCAGCCAGCCAGCCAUGUACGAACCUAUAUUUGCCAACAUUGUAGAUUGUCGACUAGGUAUUUCCAGUGCUUUUGUGACCACGUUGUUCAGUGUGUUGGGUGUGGCUUUCUCCCUUC